This is a non-coding RNA of Paramuricea clavata, 85 nucleotides long. The record is from the annotation of a GenBank genome assembly. Lineage: Eukaryota; Metazoa; Cnidaria; Anthozoa; Malacalcyonacea; Plexauridae.
UAUGCCUGUUCGCGGGUUAGGUAGUGGCAUGCCUGUUCGUGGGUUAGGUAGUGGCAUGCCACUACCUAACCCGCGAACAGGCAUA